GACAGAGGGGGCAACCGUUGUUCGGAUUCAUUGGGCGUAAAGGGUGCGUAGGCGGCGGGGCAAGUCAGGUGUGAAAUCUCGGGGCUCAACCCCGAAACUGCACUUGAUACUGCCUUGCUCGAGUACUGGAGAGGAGACUGGAAUUUACGGUGUAGCAGUGAAAUGCGUAGAUAUCGUAAGGAAGACCAGUGGCGAAGGCGAGUCUCUGGACAGUUACUGACGCUGAGGCACGAAGGCCAGGGGAGCAAACGGG
Molecule: ribosomal RNA, 253 nt
Filed under: uncultured bacterium
Lineage: Bacteria
Description: partial 16S ribosomal RNA
Rfam family: Bacterial small subunit ribosomal RNA
Source: RNAcentral